AACGAACGCUGGCGGCAGGCCUAACACAUGCAAGUCGAGCGAGCAUUUCGGUGCUAGCGGCGGACGGGUGAGUAACGCGUGGGAACGUGCCCUUUUCUGCGGAAUAGUCCUGGGAAACUGGGGGUAAUACCGCAUACGCCCUUUUGGGGAAAGAUUUAUCGGAGAAGGAUCGGCCCGCGUUGGAUUAGGUAGUUGGUGGGGUAAUGGCCCACCAAGCCGACGAUGCAUAGCUGGUUUGAGAGGAUGAUCAGCCACACUGGGACUGAGACACGGCCCAGACUCCUACGGGAGGCAGCAGUGGGGAAUCUUAGACAAUGGGGGCAACCCUGAUCUAGCCAUGCCGCGUGAGUGAUGAAGGCCUUAGGGUUGUAAAGCUCUUUCAGCUGGGAAGAUAAUGACGGUACCAGCAGAAGAAGCCCCGGCUAACUCCGUG
This 433-nucleotide ribosomal RNA is filed under the name uncultured bacterium. RNAcentral describes it as "partial 16S ribosomal RNA". It matches the Rfam family "Bacterial small subunit ribosomal RNA", at positions 29 to 507 of the family's 1533-position model. The record is from RNAcentral.